CUGGCCCCGGCUGUGCACGGAGUCUGGUGCAAUUCCCCCAAAGUCGGUGCUCAGCAAACCUCCACGUGGUGGAAUGGGUAGAAUACUCACGUAGGGAGUUGGUGUUGUUCUUGGCUGGGUCCGGCCCUUCCACCUGUCUUUCCUGGGACGCAAAGGAGGAGAGGAGAGAAGAGAGCGCUGGGGUCGACACAGUCCUGAGGAGAGCCGCCUCCCAGCAGAUGAAGAAAUAGGCUGGAGGAACCCCCUGAGAGGCAACGGUGCUAGCAUCUCGCGUGACUCCAAGACUCAUUGGUACUUGGGCUCCCUCAGCACCUCCCCAACAUGGCCCCUCCUGGCUUCUACACCAUCUUUCAUCCAACUAGAAAACCCGGCCUACUACCUGCACACCCCCUGGGAAGACCCCUAACAGCCUAUGCUAGUUUGCUGUGGCCUCCAGGUACUAGGAUGCAGCUAGCAAUCAGCCAAGCCGGUCAGGUGUCUUUGGUUUGGAUGUGGCUGCAAAGCCAAGAGGAUAGGAUACAGGAACUCACAGACCUGGUGGAACAGCCAAAGAACAAGCUUCAGAAAGGGCGGUUUCCAGGCAGCUUUAGGGGUCCAGGGAGGAAUUGCCCCCCACCCUCCAUCACCCUGAUCAAGGCCACGGGUCAGAGAGUUCCACUGGCCCAGCUGUGUCUGGUCCCCACCAUUGGCCAGGAGAUGGAGCUCCUCAGUGGACAGGCCCCUAAUCCUGCACAAAAUGGUCAGUGGUCAAGGGCAGGCCUCCAGAGUCAGAGAGCUGUGACCAGAAGAAGGGGA
RNAcentral lists this long non-coding RNA (795 nucleotides) under Equus caballus (horse). RNAcentral's name for it is "lncRNA (ENSECAG00000044234.1)". Lineage: Eukaryota; Metazoa; Chordata; Mammalia; Perissodactyla; Equidae. The record is from RNAcentral.